RNAcentral lists this transfer RNA (71 nucleotides) under Marmota monax (woodchuck). RNAcentral describes it as "tRNA.Ala". The record is from RNAcentral. Lineage: Eukaryota; Metazoa; Chordata; Mammalia; Rodentia; Sciuridae.
GAGGCUGUGGCUCAGUGGUAGUGCACAUACCUGGCGUGUGUGAGGCACUGGGUUUGAUUCUCAGCACCACA